This 381-nucleotide ribosomal RNA is filed under the name uncultured bacterium. Its description in RNAcentral is "bacterial SSU rRNA". It matches the Rfam family "Bacterial small subunit ribosomal RNA", at positions 29 to 414 of the family's 1533-position model. The record is from RNAcentral.
AUUGAACGCUGGCGGCAUGCUUUACACAUGCAAGUCGAACGGUAACGCGGGGCAACCUGGCGACGAGUGGCGAACGGGUGAGUAAUGCAUCGGAACGUGCCCAGUAGUGGGGGAUAGCCCGGCGAAAGCCGGAUUAAUACCGCAUACGACCUAUGGGUGAAAGCGGGGGAUCGCAAGACCUCGCGCUAUUGGAGCGGCCGAUGUCAGAUUAGCUAGUUGGUGGGGUAAAGGCCUACCAAGGCGACGAUCUGUAGCUGGUCUGAGAGGACGACCAGCCACACUGGGACUGAGACACGGCCCAGACUCCUACGGGAGGCAGCAGUGGGGAAUUUUGGACAAUGGGGCAACCCUGAUCCAGCAAUGCCGCGUGCAGGAUGAAGG